RNAcentral lists this ribosomal RNA (253 nucleotides) under uncultured bacterium. RNAcentral describes it as "partial 16S ribosomal RNA". It matches the Rfam family "Bacterial small subunit ribosomal RNA", at positions 524 to 776 of the family's 1533-position model. The record is from RNAcentral.
GACAGAGGGUGCAAACGUUGCUCGGAAUCACUGGGCGUAAAGGGUGUGUAGGCGGGAAGGUUAGUCAGAUGUGAAAGCCCUGGGCUCAACCCAGGAACUGCAUUUGAAACUCCCUUUCUUGAGUGUCGGAGAGGAAAGCGGAAUUCCUGGUGUAGAGGUGAAAUUCGUAGAUAUCAGGAGGAACACCGGUGGCGAAGGCGGCUUUCUGGACGACAACUGACGCUGAGACGCGAAAGCGUGGGGAGCAAACAGG